CUGGUUGCACUACUUAUCCUUGGCCUGGCAGUAUUUUUUUAAUCAUAAAUCUGUUUAUCACUAGGCCAUAAAACCUUGCUUAAAGCUGAAAAGUAGCAGGAUAUGCUAUAGUUCAAUGUAUUGCUUUUUAUAAAUUACUCAUGUAUUUUUAAACAAUUGAAAUUGCAGCAUUUUAAAAAGUUUACCAAUUUGUUUGCCAUCCUGUAACAACUUCCAUAUUUCAGACUGGAUUUAUGUUCCCUCUAAGUCUUUGUGAUCGUUUUUUUUUUUUUAAUUGCUGCCUUCUUGACUUCAUCAAAUUCCUUUUACAGAAGUUAAGCUUUAUACAUGUGGGUGUGACUUAGGAAAUACACCUCCAUACUUUCCGUAAUCUGGUGAAUGCUGAACCGUCACAGGAAGCUGAUGAGACUGAGUUUGGGGUUUUUUGUUCUUUAAAAAGACUGGAAAUGUACUGAUAAUAACUAUUUACAGAAACUGAAGAAGGAAUAUUUACAACUACUAGUUUUACUCUGUUGAAAGUCAGACGAUCUAAUAUCAGUUUAUCCUACCUUUCUUCUUCAGAUUCUUAAUAGUUCACCUGAUCUGUUCUGUGCUGACCAGUCUUUCAGGCAGGAGGCAUGCACAUGGAGCACAACACAAUCUUGGGAGUCCUGCUGAACACUGCUUGCGUACGUCACACAGAUACUGCAGGUGUAACUUCGCUGCUCUCAGGGAGACAAUUUCAUGGAAAUCUUUCUGCAUCCCAGCUUCGGUGCAGUCCAGGAUCUCUGAGCACUUGUUUGUCACUGCUGUUGCUGUGUAGUGGUUACUGAUUGCCUGGCACAUGGGGCUGGAAGUCCCAGUUCUGCGCUGAGCUCACACACUAUGCCUGUGCCUGGGAACAACUGGCUGUCUUGGAACAAGAGGAACAUGAGAUGCUGGGACUGAUGUCAAGAGCUCAGCAGAAACCUCCCAGGGAAUGGCAUCAUUCCGGGCUGUACAAUGCACUGCUUCUGCUCCCACAGCUACAUAGCUGUUCUUCCCUUACAAUGCCUAGCUGUGUUUCUUUUCAUCUUUCUUCUCUUUUUUCCAUGCUGCCUAUUCAUUUAUUUUCACCUCCUGUUUUAAUCCUUUAGUCCUUCAUGUGUGCUGCAUGUGCCUUACUAACCAGUGGUUCCUGCAAAGCCUGCAGCUGCUUCAAUGCAAUAGGACCUGGACAAGAACGAGGCUGCAUUCUGCUGGGAUCCAUGUGCCACUGAUUCACGCUGGGAGUUCAGGGUGUCUAUGACUGAGUACACUACAAACCUGUUAUAAUGCUGUUAUCAUCUCAGACUCCUUGAGAAUAUUUUGGGAGUCAAGACUGGGCCCGGUGUUUAUGUGAGUCAGUCAAGUAGCAUGAUGCUGAGUUUGAUCCACGGUAACUGAACUCUGACAGAAAAGCAGAUGGGGUACCACAGACACCAAGCUAAGAUGCAGUCACCACAAGCUACAGGAUACAGGAGCGUCCAUGCCGCUGGCUCUGCCCAAAAGAUAAAUCUCCUGCUCGAGAGUUCUCUGUCCACAUAGGACCAAGCCCAGCAUAUGUACAGUAUUUGUAAAAUUAGAGAAUUUCACCAUGAGUUACUGUGCCACCACAAAGCCACCUCUUCAUUUGAACCUUAGUAGAGACCCCUUCAAUUUUUUUACAGCUACAUAUUUAAUAUAUAGAAAAUAUGUGUUCAUUAAAAAUAAAUGUAUUUCUCUCUAGGAAGUCUCUGGCUUAAAUGCCCAUUUUUCAAACAUUAUAUAUGAAAAUGCUCGAGUCCUGCAGUGGGUCACCAAUUAAAAUUUUGAUUUGAAGAUCAGCCUACAAGUCACAGACAGCCUCGUAAAGAUGUAACUAUCAUAACUUGCCUUUUCCCAGUUGGAACUGUCAGGUGAACGCUUCUGAAGCACCUAAUGUAUGACUAAUGUUUGUUUGUUUUACAAGAAGCUUUACAGCUGCAGUGUUCCAAGAAUGCUUAAAUUCAAUAAACAGCUAUUAUAAUUC
Long non-coding RNA from Centrocercus urophasianus (Greater sage-grouse), 2008 nucleotides. RefSeq lists it as uncharacterized. NCBI's taxonomy places the organism in Eukaryota, Metazoa, Chordata, Aves, Galliformes, Phasianidae. The record is from RefSeq and is a predicted model, not a curated record. The transcript has 4 exons.